UACGUAGGGUGCGAGCGUUGUCCGGAAUUAUUGGGCGUAAAGAGCUUGUAGGCGGUUUGUCGCGUCUGCCGUGAAAAUCCGAGGCUCAACCUCGGACUUGCGGUGGGUACGGGCAGACUAGAGUGUGGUAGGGGAGACUGGAAUUCCUGGUGUAGCGGUGAAAUGCGCAGAUAUCAGGAGGAACACCGAUGGCGAAGGCAGGUCUCUGGGCAUUAACUGACGCUGAGGAGCGAAAGCAUGGGGAGCGAACGGG
RNAcentral lists this ribosomal RNA (253 nucleotides) under uncultured bacterium. Its description in RNAcentral is "partial 16S ribosomal RNA". It matches the Rfam family "Bacterial small subunit ribosomal RNA", at positions 524 to 776 of the family's 1533-position model. The record is from RNAcentral.